Molecule: ribosomal RNA, 528 nt
Filed under: Triticum aestivum (bread wheat)
Lineage: Eukaryota; Viridiplantae; Streptophyta; Magnoliopsida; Poales; Poaceae
Description: partial small subunit ribosomal RNA
Source: RNAcentral
AUGCAGUUCUGUAAGCUAACCGGAUCAGCUAAUGUUUUCUUUAAGUUCUUUUUUGAGUGCCGACAGAGCAUAACGCUUGAAGAUAUGGAGGCGUCAAACCUGUGCCGACCCCCUCUUGGUGAUGCCUCUAACGGAGCCCCUCUUGGCGACAUCUCUAAUGUUGAUCAUCAUUCCCGAAUGACUCCAGUGCCAAUGCCAGCCUCACUCGACCUUACCCUGUAUGGAUCUCACUGCGAAAGGGUAAAUCUUGCUAGCAACACCAACAUAGCAAGGAAAAAUAAACGACCAAUACAAAAAAUGCCAGUCGCUGCCAUCUUAGCGGCAUCUCCACUAUCGAUUAACUCCCCAAAUGCAGUCCAGGAAAUAUCGCAGACCACGACAUCUAACCAUAACAUGCCAGAUACGGUUCAUGAUGAUGGGGAACAUAACAGGACCUCAUCAACAGAAAGAAGGUGCAUUCUAAACGCGCGGAGAAGAGCAACUUGUAAGGAGCAAAAAGAAAAGGAAAGUACAUCACUCCCAGCCUGA